Long non-coding RNA from Peromyscus californicus insignis, 7037 nucleotides. RefSeq lists it as uncharacterized. The transcript has 3 exons. Lineage: Eukaryota; Metazoa; Chordata; Mammalia; Rodentia; Cricetidae. The record is from RefSeq and is a predicted model, not a curated record.
GAGGAAAAAGAGCCUUGCGCAGGCCACCUCCAAACAGGGAGGCUCUUGUGGGGAUGAGAUGGCGCAGGAGCAUGAGCUCGGGCAGGGACAGCCUGGGGCUGGAUUCUUGUGGCGCUUGUCCUCUGCUCCGACCACUUGCCCCUGAGGGAAGGGCUCUGACCAUGCCCAGAAUCACGUUUUAAGGCAUGAUGGGAGGAGAUGCCCGCUCUGUCCCUGUAGGGAAGGGAUGAAUGGGUCGGUUUGGGCUGAGAGUUCGGGUUCUCGGUCUAAUAGCUGUGCAGUUCUCCGUGGCCACCGCGAGAGAGGAAUCGGCUGGGAUGUUUGCGUGGAGCGAUGUGUGGGUGACUGUGACUUGCCCUCCAACCGUGGACACUGAGAGAGAAAACAGGCACCCAGGGAGCAGAGUCCAGCCAGGACUACGUAUGUUGUCUGCCUCGUGACAAAAGACUUUCAGGUGUGGCUUGACCCAGGGGCUUAGACGAUGUCAUGAGGAUCCUGUUUCUUUCUUUCUCUGGGUUUAAGGAACAUUGCUGUAUCUGUAACAUGGGCAUUUGGCUCUCAGAGGUCUUGGAGUAUGCACACCCUGGGAUGUUUGUAAGAGGUCCCGUGCGCACACAUGUGUUUCCGGCAUGCUUAUUCAUGCUAUCUUUUUUUAUGUAGAAACAGAGCCCCUGAUUCAUGAGGGUGCAGACCCUCUCAUUCAUACCCAUUUUCCAAACCUCCAGGAAGCUGGCUCCACGCCCAGGAUGCAGAGUGGAAUGUUGUGAUCACCUGGUGUAGUUGGCACAGACACCAGCCCGGCCACUCGCAGGCCUAGGUGUGGGGUGACGUGGGUGUGCCAGGCCUAGAUCCCUGAGAACGAUCAGGGCUUCCUCCCCGUGCUGGGGGGAGGGAGGGAUGCAUGAGGCAGGGGUGGAUAUAGAGAUGGAGCUGCUGCUGCUGUUGCUGCUGCUGGGGUGUGGACAUGACUCCAAGCUGCAGAUUAGGAAUGAGAUAGGGUCCUGGGAACAUCCCUGGAGCCCCUGGUCCAAGCUACACCUGAGAUCUGCCCUUGGGCCGUUCAAAUGCAGAAGCUCACACGACCCCUUCCUCAGGUCAAGUUCUCUGCCACCUGCAAUUGACGACAUUCUAGCUGCAUAUCAGGGUCCAGGGCGUUUUGUUCUGAGGGGAUUGUUGAUUGGGUAGAGUUGUUGGCUGGCUAAAUCGGAACUCUAGUGGACUCCACUGUCUGCAAGGUCCAGCUUCAGAAGGAGUGGGGCUCACUCGUGGUCCCCGGCUUCUGGGCUGGGUUCGGCCACUUUAUCUUGUGUAAUUAUUUUUUAUAUUGAGGCGCUCUGUGAAUGCUACACAAACCUGUACCCCGAGCCACACCCCUGCCAUGGCCACUUUAAUAUUAUUCUUCACGGUCCCCAAAGGCUCCGGAGUCCAGUCACCCCCUUGGAAGUGGAGCGGACAACUUCUAGACGUAGGGACUAACUGACAAAGACAAAUGGUAUCAGGUCGCAGCUGAGCCGGCCCCGGUUCACUCCCUUUUAUGGUAACGGCCAGCGUGUGGCCGCCCUGUCUCUAAGUGCCACCCAUGUCACCGAGCCCCUGCGAGAACCUGGCCCUUGCCAAGUCGGUGGCAGAUGGUUCUGUGGAAACCGGGGCAGGGGUGGGCCUUUGUCCAGGCUGCUCACCGCGGCGGCGGCAGCGGCAGGGCCCGGUGCUAUCAUGGCAAGUCACUUCUCCACUGGCCAGCUGGCUCCAGGCCCUGCGAGCCGUGGGGCCUCCGUGCUUUGAAGUAAUUAAUUAUGCAGCAUGGCAAGGAGACAGCAAGAUUUAGAGCAGAGGCAGCGACAGAUGGCCCCGGGAGGAAACCAGAUCUUCCGGGAGACAGGAUGGUUGUGGAGAGAGGCGGGCCUGUGUGCCUGUGUGUGUGCCCAUGUAUGUGCUGUGUGCCUGUGCGUACACUGUGUGCACAUGUGUGCAUGUGUGUGUAUGCCUGUGUGUGCAUCUGGGUGAAUGAGCGUGCCUGUGUUUACAUGUGUGCUUGCAUAUGCAUGUGCAUUCGUGUGCAUGUGUAUGUGUGUGCAUGUAUAUAUGCCUGUGUGUGCACCUAUGUGUGCAUGUAUAUGCCUGUGUAUGUGUAUAGCCUGUGUGUACCUGUGUGUGGGGGAGGAUGUGUGCUUGUGUGUGUGAGGAAGGCUGUGUGUACAAGUGUGUGCCUGUGGAGGGUGUUGUGUGUCUCUGUGUGUGUGUGUAUGAGGGGUUCUAUGUGCCGGGGGUGGGGUGGGGCUGUAUGCCUGUGUGCCCUGUGUGUGCAUGUGUGUGCCUGUGUGUGUGUGUGGGUGCUGUGCCUGUGUUGACGGGGGAGGCUGUGUGCUUGUGUGUGAACAGCUGUGUGCUCUUCUCCUUCCCCCGCAGCUCCUUCUUCCCCUGGGGAAUUCUGAAUGUCCCACUUCUCAGUGGCUUCCAGGGUGUCUGUGCUGGAGGAGAAGGUGUCAGUGGGGAGAAACAGGGAAGUGAUAAAACCAUAGACAGGGUGGGCUUGGCUCCACGCCUGUGUGAGCUCUGAGCGGCUGCGCAUUGGGCUGGAGUUUCUGGAUCAGAGGAGCGAUCCUGCCCGGGUGCCACCAUUGCCCUGAGGUACCACCAACACCUCAGCACCGUCCUCACCAGGCCCCUCAGUCCCUGGAACCUUCACCAUCAAAGUCUGCCUCUACUUCAUCAAGACCUAGAACACUCACCUGGGGGCCACCAGCCUGCACCUAACAGUCCCCUGGGGGCCACCAGCCUGCACCUAACAGUCCCCUGGGGGCCACCAGCCUGCACCUAACAGUCCCCUGGGGGCCACCAGCCUGCACCUAACUGUCCCCUGGGGGCCACCAGCCUGCACCUAACUGUCCCCUGGGGGGCCAUCAGCCUCCACCUAACUGUCCCCUGGGGGCCACCAGCCUGCACCUAACUGUCCCCUGGGGGGCCAUCAGCCUCCACCUAACUGUCCCCUGGGGGCCACCAGCCUGCACCUAACUGUCCCCUGGGGGGCCAUCAGCCUCCACCUAACUGUCCCCUGGGGGCCACCAGCCUGCACCUAACUGUCCCCUGGGGGCCACCAGCCUCCACCUAGCAUCUUCCAGACUUUCCUUAGCCCUCAGAAACAGGUGAACAUGUCUGUGGGACACCUGAGACCCCUUACAAUCCUGGCCUUAGGUCCAUCUCCCCAUCCCUCCCUGGUGCCCUCUGGUGUCAGCUCUGCAGUUUCUGACCCUGUGCCCUUGGGAAGGCUGUUCCCUCUGUUUGGCUUGCCCCUUCCUUCCCUUGGUUUGCCCAGGAAGCCCUGGCCAGGCUCACGGUUUCCUCCACAGCCCUCUCUGGUGCCUGCCUCAAGCGUGUGGCCUGUUUUUUUUUUUUUUUUUUUCUCGAGACAGGGUUUCUCUGUGUAGCUUUGCGCCUUUUCCUGGAACUCACUUGGUAGCCCAGGCUGGCCUCGAACUCACAGAGAUCCACCUGGCUCUGCCUCCCGAGUGCUGGGAUUAAAGGCGUGCGCCACCACCGCCCGGCGUGGCCUGGUUUUUAACUGGCCUGAGUUGGAGAUGCCAUCAAAGUCCUGGGUACCAGCCUAGCUGAGCCUCCCCUCCACAAAGGGGCUGCAAAGCACCAGCCAACAGCAGGUGGAGCCUCUGGUCCCAGGCUGUGUUCUGAGACUCAGUGGACCCAAACAACAAAGGUGGAAGUGAUUGUGGACCUAGCUGACUUCCGGAACUCCGCCUUAGCACCCUGCCCGGCUGCCAUGGGAACACAGGAGUCCCCCAUACACAAGGGGUGUGUUCAGAUUCCCUCUAUGGAGGCCUGAAAGUGGCGAUACUGGCCUUGUGUGCACAGCGAUGGUUAGUCAUCAUAGUAACCGGGCUGGAUUUGGAGUCACCUAGGAGACACUGUGGAUGCCUGUGGGUGGGUUCCCGGGACGGGAGAUCUGCCCUUACUGUGGGCUGCACCAUCCCUGGGCGUGGGUCCUGGGCCGGGUCAACAGGAAAAUCAAACAGAGCGAACAUCAGCAUCAUCUCCCUCUGCUUUCCUGGCUGUGAUGCCACGUGGGCAGCCGCCUCGUGCCCUCCCUCCCACGUCACUCUGUGCCUCGGAAGUGCAAGCCACAGCCACAACAAGCCACCUUCCUUCAGCUUCCUUUGACAAAGUGUUUUGUGUCAGCAAUGAAACAAGUGGGGAGGGGCCUAGACGCUCGCCGGGACCGUGGGUCGGUCUCACAGCGUAGGGCUCUGAGCGCCAGGUUUUUGCUUUUUUGUUGUGUUUCUGGAACUUUGUUUUCCAGGGAGCUCUUCCGACGGACGUGAAGAUGCUGUCUUCCUGGAGGGCCACAAGGCUUUUGUGCGGUAACUGCUCUGUGUGGAGCCCGAGAAGGCGGCCAGGGUUUGAUGAGUCGAACAUGUUUUAUCCUUUUACUCUAGAGUUGAACCGGAUGCAGAGCUGGCUAAUUUUAUGUCAACUCCACACCAGUUGGAGUCAUCAAAGAGGAGGGAACCGCAACUGAGAAAAUGCCUCCAUGAGAUCCAGCUCUCCUGCCUCCAGGAUCCUGCCCUGUGUGAGUUCCUGUCCUGACUGCUUCUGAUGAUGAACUGUGAGUGAAAUAAACCUUUUCCUCUCCGAGUUGCUUCUGGCCAUGUUUUCAUCACAGCUAUAGUGACCCCGACGGGGACAGAUGUACUUUGGAGAAGGCUGCACUUCUAUAAGCGUCCUUCGGGAAUGUGGGCUCAUCUGUAUCAUUCUUGGAAGAGGUCGGGCCACCCUGACUCAGCAGGGAGUCAUCGAGUCAUCUACAACUGGUGGGACCCUCCUUAAUGCAGCCAACACUGGACCCCUAAAUCACCGGGCAUUUCAAAAAUGUCACAUACUUUUUACCGUGGGUGUGUUUUGCCUGGCUGGCUGGCUGUGUACUGCACGUGUGUGCAGCACCCUCAGGGGCCAGAAGAGGGUGUCAGAUCCUCUGGAACUGGAGUUAUAGGUGGUUGUAAGUUGUCCUGUGGGUGCUGGGAAUUGAACCCUGUUCCUCUGGAAGAGCUGUCAGUGCUCUUAACUGCUGAGACAUCUCUCCAGCUCCCACAUUCUCUCUGUGGAUCUGACGACAGUCUUUUAUCUCCUGCUUCACAGGCUCCACGCUCCAAGCAUCUCUUUCAUGAGCAAAACAUGUCAGAUUCCUCAACUACACCUCACAGCCUGUCUCCAGCUCCUCCUACCUCUGACCUGGACACACCCCUUGGCAGCGGGAAGACAAAGCUAAGUCCAGCACCCAGGUCUGACAGUGUUAAUUCUUUCACCUGGACACCCUCCCUGUCAGUAUGGUUUGAACAAGAAUUGGGGUGUUCUCUUCUGAUUCACAUUUAGUUUUCUUACAACAGGAAUCCGUUCCUUUUAUCUCUGUGUGCUUUUUUUUUUUUUUAAAAUUCUGUAGAUGUAAAUCCAUCUACACUGUGUGCCAUUUAAAAGGCCUAAACACAAGAUUAUACUUAUCCCUUGUAAAUGUCACCGCCUUGGAUUUGCCUCCUGACUUCUUCUGUGUUCCUGUUCUGCUGUCUUUCAUAUGUUCAGCUCCUAAAUGGACUCUGCCUACACCACACAGUGUAGCAUGCGACCUUUGGCGUGGUAGUGUGUGUUCAUGCACAUGGGGUAACUCCCCCACUAACCAGAAUUUUCUCUUGUAAAUCCCCCUCUUCAGUCCUCAGGAAAUGUUACUAGACUUGACUCUACCUCCCUUCCAUGAUGAGCACGUGACCAAGGUCUGGCCAAUGGGAUAUGGUACCCACUUCCCAUCCCUAAUCGGAGAGAUACCUAUAGACAUCCCUGGGACUUGUCCCCUGGGGGAAUCUGGGAGUCUCCAGGAGAGAAGCACUGCUGUUCUGUCCAAGUGUGCUGCAGAGAGGGUGGAAGUGUGGCCCCACUCCUGGUGGGGUCACACCCAGGAGUCCUGGGGUGGGCAGGGGUAUCCCAAGGGAGGUAGAAGUCCCUUAGCCAGUCUGUGGAGGCUCUUAGGUGAUUGUGCCCCCCCCCCAGCACUGUGUAAGUGGGGUAUGGUGGUGCUGAGAUCUCACUGUUGGAGAAAAAUGCAGUUGGUUUCAAUGCAUUUGUACAAUAAACUCAAGAGUCACCAAUAAUGUUAAGGGAAGACAUCAAAGCACUUCCUCCUGGGGUCAUUUGACCGAGAUUGAGCUCAGAUUGUGGAAUUAUCUACCUCCCUCUCCCUGGGUUUUCCUUCUGUCCCCUGCCUGCCCUGUGAAUCUGUCCCUGUCCCUGUGUGUCUGCAAAUCUGUCUGUGUGUCUGUCCCUCAGGCUGUCUUGUGAAUCUGUCUCUGGGUCUGUGUCUGUGUGUAUGCAAAUCUGUGUGUCUGUCCCUCACGAAGGGAUUCGCUCUGUCUUUAUCGAACAGCAAAGCAAGCAUCACAUGGUGAAGGAAUGGGAUGCUUUACAGAAAUCUUCAGCAGAGUUUUACAAGGGAUUAAGUCACUGGGUCCAACAGAUCCCAACUGACCCAGAUAGCAAAUAUCACUGUUUAUCAACUGAUAAUCCAAGUGUUGUGUUUAACGUUUAUGGCGGAUAUUCAUUUUAGGAGGUUUCUUUCAGCCUCUAUUUUUGCCGCUUUCAGCAAAUUGCUUCUUAGAACUUGGAUGCAUUACUCUGGGUCAGGGCCACGGAAAGAGCGCAUAAUUUAAGAUUACAGCUUCCCAUUAGCUCAGGCUGUAAAAGUUGAUUACAUGGGAAAUCCAAGGCAAGUAAGGUUGGCUGUUCCAGUGUUCUCAUAAAGGCAGAUUAAAAAGACAGGCUGCAGACACAGUAGGGCAGUGGUCUUAAGUCUUACAUGACCUCCGGGUGUCACACUAACUCGGCUGUGAGGCCCAGCAAAAGUUCCAGCCUCUUAGCAUGUAAGAGAUAUAGAUUUUUUUUUAUUAUAAUGAAGCUGCCACAGAAAAACUGGAGAGGUUGAGACAGAGGGGUCAGAAGGUCAAGGUCAUCGGGCUACGUGGUGACUCUAAGACACCGGAGAAGAA